UUUCCGUAGGUGAACCUGCGGAAGGAUCAUUAACAAAUCAUGUUGGUGCCUGGCCUUCGGGUCAUGUCCCCCUAUAAACCCAUCCCCGUGCAGAAAUGCCGGGCGAUGUGUGUGGCCUUUUGGACGCUGGUGUACUUUUGGGAUGCUGGCGUCUGGGCUUCACUCGGUGAAGGUCUUGGGCUGUUUUGGAUGAGAUCUGAUCCACAUAGACGCUUGUAUGUUUGACGGAGUUAGUUGACACUUUUAAAAAUGACAACUUUUAACAAUGGAUCUCUUGGCUCUG
Molecule: unclassified non-coding RNA, 283 nt
Filed under: plant metagenome
Description: partial contains small subunit ribosomal RNA, internal transcribed spacer 1, and 5.8S ribosomal RNA
Source: RNAcentral